This 456-nucleotide ribosomal RNA is filed under the name uncultured bacterium. RNAcentral describes it as "bacterial SSU rRNA". It matches the Rfam family "Bacterial small subunit ribosomal RNA", at positions 61 to 518 of the family's 1533-position model. The record is from RNAcentral.
GUCGAGCGGAGAGUAAUGGGAGAUUCUUCGGAUGAUGUUAUUAUCUUAGCGGCGGAUGGGUGAGGUAACACGUGGGUAACCUGCCCUGCACAGGGGGAUAACAGCUGGAAACGGCUGUUAAUACCGCAGUAUGCACACGCUGCCGCAUGGCAGGGGGUGGAAAAAUUUAUCGGUGCAGGAUGGGCCCGCGUCGGAUUAACUAGUUGGCAGGGUAACGGCCUACCAAGGUGAUGAUCCGUAGCCGACCUGAGAGGGUGACCGGCCACAUUGGGACUGAGACACGGCCCAAACUCCUACGGGAGGCAGCAGUGGGGGAUAUUGCACAAUGGGCGCAAGCCUGAAUGCAGCGACGCCGCGUGAAGGAAGAAGUAUUUCGGUAUGUAAACUUCUAUCAGCGGGGAAGAAGAUGACGGUACCCGACUAAGAAGCCCCGGCUAACUACGUGCCAGCAGCAGC